UGGGGAAUAUUGGACAAUGGGCGAAAGCCUGAUCCAGCCAUGCCGCGUGUGUGAAGAAGGUCUUCGGAUUGUAAAGCACUUUAAGUUGGGAGGAAGGGCAGUAAGCGAAUACCUUGCUGUUUUGACGUUACCGACAGAAUAAGCACCGGCUAACUCUGUGCCAGCAGCCGCGGUAAUACAGAGGGUGCAAGCGUUAAUCGGAAUUACUGGGCGUAAAGCGCGCGUAGGUGGUUCGUUAAGUUGAAUGUGAAAGCCCCGGGCUCAACCUGAGAACUGCAUCCAAAACUGGCGAGCUAGAGUAGGGCAGAGGGUGGUGGAAUUUCCUGUGUAGCGGUGAAAUGCGUAGAUAUAGGAAGGAACACCAGUGGCGAAGGCGACCACCUGGGCUCAUACUGACACAGAGGUGCGAAAGCGUGGGAGGCAAACAGG
Molecule: ribosomal RNA, 429 nt
Filed under: Pseudomonadota bacterium
Lineage: Bacteria; Pseudomonadati; Pseudomonadota
Description: Proteobacteria bacterium partial 16S ribosomal RNA
Rfam family: Bacterial small subunit ribosomal RNA
Source: RNAcentral